UCGUGAGUAAAUUCUGGCCAACUCUAUAGCUCUUCUCAAAUUUUCUCCUAACCCCCCUCUCUGAUGAAGGCAGUGGGGGUUUAUAUAUAGGGGAAUUUGGGGUCGAUUUAGAGGGGAAAUCGGGUUGAAAAGAUGGAUCCGAAUCCAAUUUGAAAAAUCAAAAUCUCGAAGAGAUCAGAAAUAAAUUUUCCAUUGUACCAAUUUUCGACGGAAAAGAGGGGAGAGGGGAAGUGGAGGACGCGAUUUGCUGCGGGAUUUCCGGUCUGAGCGACUGUCGAUGUUGACGUUUACUAGCCUUCUGGGUUUCGUCUGGAAGAAGAAAACGAGCAUGGGCAGUGGGGUCGGGGUGUUGUUGGAAUCGCUGAUUUGCAGCGAGGAAGACGAAGUUGGGCGGUGGGAUACUGUGUAUAUACGUAUGGGAUGAUGUAUUGUAUUGUGGAUGUUUGGAAGCUGCUG
RNAcentral lists this long non-coding RNA (456 nucleotides) under Solanum tuberosum (potato). Its description in RNAcentral is "long non-coding RNA (STUB_LNC010519)". The record is from RNAcentral. Lineage: Eukaryota; Viridiplantae; Streptophyta; Magnoliopsida; Solanales; Solanaceae.